RNAcentral lists this ribosomal RNA (545 nucleotides) under Trichoderma atroviride. RNAcentral describes it as "partial large subunit ribosomal RNA". It matches the Rfam family "Eukaryotic large subunit ribosomal RNA", at positions 86 to 654 of the family's 3401-position model. Lineage: Eukaryota; Fungi; Ascomycota; Sordariomycetes; Hypocreales; Hypocreaceae. The record is from RNAcentral.
ACGGCGAGUGAAGCGGCAACAGCUCAAAUUUGAAAUCUGGCCCCUAGGGUCCGAGUUGUAAUUUGUAGAGGAUGCUUUUGGUGAGGUGCCGCCCGAGUUCCCUGGAACGGGACGCCGCAGAGGGUGAGAGCCCCGUCUGGCUGGCCACCGAGCCUCUGUAAAGCUCCUUCGACGAGUCGAGUAGUUUGGGAAUGCUGCUCAAAAUGGGAGGUAUAUGUCUUCUAAAGCUAAAUAUUGGCCAGAGACCGAUAGCGCACAAGUAGAGUGAUCGAAAGAUGAAAAGCACCUUGAAAAGAGGGUUAAACAGUACGUGAAAUUGUUGAAAGGGAAGCGCUUGUGACCAGACUUGGGCGCGGCGGAUCAUCCGGGGUUCUCCCCGGUGCACUUCGCCGUGUUCAGGCCAGCAUCAGUUCGGCGCGGGGGAAAAAGGCUUCGGGAACGUGGCUCCUCCGGGAGUGUUAUAGCCCGUUGCAUAAUACCCUGCGCUGGACUGAGGACCGCGCAUCUGCAAGGAUGCUGGCGUAAUGGUCACCAGCGACCCGUCU